RNAcentral lists this long non-coding RNA (1069 nucleotides) under Equus asinus (donkey). Its description in RNAcentral is "lncRNA (ENSEASG00005034790.1)". Lineage: Eukaryota; Metazoa; Chordata; Mammalia; Perissodactyla; Equidae. The record is from RNAcentral.
UACUGUUUAGCACAUUAACAAUCCUACUUUUGAAAAAUAACAGGAUAAACCCGUCCGUUCACACCCUCCCCUAUCUAAUUACAGUAGGAAGCAGAUGACUUUGAAAAGAAAUGACUUAAAUAACUUUUUAAAAGCCUGUGAGUAUCAUCAUUUAUGGUUUAUAUUAUACUGCUGAGAGCAGUUACAAUGUGGACACUUUAAAUUAGAUGUAAAAGAUUGACAAAGAAGUAUUGUAUGUAAAAUAGUGACUAUCCUUAAACGAGUUGUAUUUAAUUCUUCAUUUCAUUCAGAGUUAAAUAAGUCCCCAUUUUGGGGGUUUCUUUCCAAAAAAGAAAUCUUCUGGAAGGUCUUUAUCCUAUUGGUGUGUUCUGCUUAAUAUUCCCUUUAUAUUUGUGAUGAUUCUAUUGUUCUGCUCUCCUACACACACCACCUACAGUGACCAAGGCUCAUUCCUUUUAAUUCACACUUGUAUUCUUUUUUUAUAGGUUACUUAAUACUGCAUAAUAAGGCAGUUAGGCCACAACCCAGUGCACUCUAAGCAGCAUGGGAGUGAUCCAAAAAAUACAAAAUGAAGUUAAUGUAACAUAAAAAUGACUGUGCAGCAUAUAAGGAAAUCAGAUUACUGGCAAAUACUUUAGUGUCAUUAGAAUCCACUGUAAAGGAGUUCAGCAAGCUUAAUAACUUCGAUGUCUUCCACACUGGGUGACUUCAUUCAGACUAUUCCCAAAUGCAUUUAAAAAUAUUUUUAAAAAGAAAGAACCUCAAGUUUAAAUGCAUGUCCUGUAGCUCUUUGUACUGUGUUAUAACUAAAAUUUAGUCAAUUUUACCUAUACACAAGGAUGGACAGCGUUUUACUAACCGCAAAGAUGGCCUAUUGAAUGAGAAGAAAAAAACUGAAGAACCCUCUCAUGUUUUUGUCUUCAUUUAAGCUUGCUUCUUCCUGCUGUUCCUCAGCUGGCUGAAUAGGUGCUGUGUCCUUCUUAGUUCUCUUCAUUUCCAAAGAAUUCAGCAUAUUGUUUUCAAAGUGAAUCUUUUAUGCAACAGUGGCUUGAAGCAAACUCUUGUCCUA